Chenopodium quinoa (quinoa) is the source of this 2576-nucleotide long non-coding RNA. RefSeq lists it as uncharacterized. Lineage: Eukaryota; Viridiplantae; Streptophyta; Magnoliopsida; Caryophyllales; Amaranthaceae. The transcript has 6 exons. The record is from RefSeq and is a predicted model, not a curated record.
UAAUUAUAUUAUUCCUAAUAGGCAAAACUUGCCCGAUACAAUACAAUAUGCGAAAUUACGGAGUAGAUGUUAAAAAACCCUAGCCGUCUAACUUCACUUUUCUUAUUUUCCUCUCCUCCUCUCUCUCUCCUCAAUUGACUCUUUCUCUCUCUUCUCAUACGAUUUAGCUUUCUCUCUCUUCUCAUUCUUACAAUGGAAAGUUGGAAACUGAGCUGUUUUGGGUCAAAACAUGCUAUAAUGUCGUCUAGGAAGGGAAUGUUGCCCCUCAAACUUCCAAGUUAAAUUGAUUUUAAAGUUGAAUAGAGAUGAAGCUAUCAAAGAGGAUGAAGAGAAAAGUGUAGCCUUCAAAGCAGCAAAGUACGUAGCAGUAUUUCUGGAAAUACGAAAAGAAUUAGUGUUGAGGGUGAGGAAGAAAAAAUUACUAGAUCUGGAUUUUGUUCUAUGAAUUAUAUUUGUGAUUGUUGAAUUUUUAAGAUCAUAGAUCAUAAAAUAAUGGUACAAUUUGAUCUUUAUAAGUGUUGGCCUUAUUGAUUUCAGCUUGUUUGUGACAGGUAUUUCUCGUGAUUCUUUGUUCAAAAUGUGUGCCGCUAGUGCCAAGAACAACUGAAGAAGGUUCGGAGGUAGAAGCAUAAGUGCGUGCUGAUGGUGGUGUGAUGUUGGGUUGCAGGUUAUAAGCACAUGGGGUGUUCAAAACAAAAUUGACUUCCUUUCACUAUCAUAUACUCGUCAUGCAGAACAUGUUCGCCAAGUAUUAGGCACGUGAGCUGCUGCAAGUUUAGGUGAUCUUAGAUAUUUGCAAAGAUUGAAAACGUUGAGGCUGAAAAGGUAUUCAAUCAAGAUCAGUACUUCAAGAAAGCUGUCAAGUAUGUGGGAGAGCCAAUGUAUUACGCUUGUAGGUGCAUGUUGCCUUGAAGGUAAUGGUAUCUGUGAUCAUCUGUUUCACUUGUAUUACGCUUAUCAUUGCUUCGUUUUUUAUCUUUUGUUUUGAUUUGAUGAAUUUGUUCAGUUUGAUUUGAAAUUGGAUCUGGUUUAUGAUUUCUUUAUAUAUGUUUUUGGAUUGAUUUCUAUUUUGUUCUUCAAUUUUUUAUGUUUUCGGUUUAGAUCGACGCUAGAAUCCUGGUUCUGUUGUGUUUAGUUGCAAAAUAUUUGCUAUUUUUUUGUUAUUAAAUCGUCAUAAAUGUUAGGUUAUUAGAUGUUUGUAGUUGUACUUUGUUGUUGUGAUUUGCUGCUGUUUUAAUGGAACUUUUUUUAUAGUACUGUUUUUUUGCGAUUUUUUAAGCUUAUUUUGCCUCAAAUUGCUUACAUCUAUGCAUCUGAAUAUCUACGAAUUUUACGUUAGAUUUUGGUUGAUCUUAUGCUUUAGAUUCAUUUUCAAUGAUUACAAUAAGCCUAUUAAAUGUUUUUUUAAAAUUUUGUUUGCGAAGCUUCUUGCAGUUUGUUGAUUUUGUUUUGUUUGCAUUAGAGAUUCGUAUUUCAGAUGCUAAAAACAGAAUUCUGGUGUUCUAUUAUGGAAUCUUGAAUUAUGUAAGGUUUGAAGUUGUUCUGUGUUGAUUUGGGAUGAUUUGAGGCCUCAUUAUUGCCACUUACACACAUGUCCAGUGUUAUUUGAAUUUUCCUUAUUAUGCUAGCAGGUUAACCACCGAGUCUUUUUAGUAACUUAGUGGCCCUUUCUUUAGGUUUUUGUUUUUGUAGGAGCAACAGGUGCCUAUUUGUUAUUCAUGUUAUUAGUAACUCAGUGUAACCCAUUAUGUAUGGUUGUGAAUAUAUGAAUGAGUGUGGAGGAAAAAAGAAGCAUUUUGCUAUUUUUUGGCUUUUUAUAUUUUGAAAUUGAAAAGUACAGGCUUAAUCUUGUGCCAUCUUAUAAAAAUAGAUGGGCCAUGACGUUGAGACGGGGAGGUGGGGAUUAGUAGCUAAGUGAACCAAGGGUAUUUUUUUCUCAUUAUAGUGAUUAGUGCUCAUUUAAUCAUCAAAUGAGUAAACCGGGUGUAUAUAUAUAUAAGAGUUUAAAGGGACUGAUUAUUGAUAAUGCGGCUUGAAUCACUGUUUGAUUCUCAUCCAUGUCAUGAAGUCUACAUGCAUGCUUUAAAUGGUCAUUUCAAGCAAUUUUAAUUGAUAGAAUGAUCUUUCCCAUCACAUUGUUUGGAUUAGUUGGAUAUUGAUCCUAUUUAGAAGAAGAUUGUUGUUUUUUAUUUUUCACUAUUAUCUUAGUACAGUCCAAUAGGAGAACAACUUUCAUCUUGCAAGGAGGUAUCAUUAUAUCUACAAUCUUAUUUUGGGAUAAAUGAUGUUAAACUUGUGAGGGACAUUAGGGUUGAAUCUCAGCAUGAUCUCUAAGGAAUGGCAACUCCAUGAUGGACCUUUCAAAUUCACCUCUACGGCUCUACAUGUUUACCUAUUGAACAUGAGAUGGAUUCUUUACUUUUGGGCAUUGAGAAUCUACCAGAUGUUCAGAGUAUUAUUCAUAUAGUAGCUUUUGACUCAUGUUAGGGAGUUGUUGUAAAUUCAAUUUGGACAUUUGUUAAAGUUUGUAUCUUUGAUUUUAUAAUUAAUUAAAUUUUACAUUUAUUAUUAUUAAA